RNAcentral lists this long non-coding RNA (1051 nucleotides) under Rattus norvegicus (Norway rat). RNAcentral describes it as "long non-coding RNA NONRATT030494". The record is from RNAcentral. Lineage: Eukaryota; Metazoa; Chordata; Mammalia; Rodentia; Muridae.
GCGCAAAGCAGAGCCAGAGGCACUGCAGUCUCUCAGGAGGUCCACGCGGCACAGCACCAACUGUGACAGGCUGUCUGAAAGCAGCUCGUCACCUCAGCCGAAGCGCAGGCAACAGGACACAUCCACCAGCAUGCCGAAGCUGUUUCUGCACUUGGAAAAGAGUGAGUUUGUCCUAAGAGCCCCAGGCCAGGGAAAGGUGUUUUUUUCGUUUGUUGUUAGCCUCUCAAGUAUGUAUAAAGUGUGCGAUUCUCCAGAUCUCACACAGGUUGCUAUAAAGCUACUUCCUUUGAAAAGGAAAACAUCCACAGAAAGCUACUGGCUUGGGUGGUUCAGUGAGAACUAGGGAGGCCAGACUGGGCUCUGUGUUUAAGGUUGAUUUGUUAUCCUUCCUCUUUGCUACUUUUGUGAGCUGGUGUAGUUAUAGGAAUCCCAUGUUUUCUAUACUCAUUCAAGAUGAAUUGUGCUAAUAGAUUGCUACAUUUCCAUUCCUGUUUUCAAAACUUUCCUUGAAGAAUUCCGUUUGAAUAAAAUGUUCAAAUGAGAUUGCUGGUUUCGACGGAGUAUGCUAGAAAAUUCCCUAUUUGAAGUGAUUUUUAGUAUAGUUAGAACUGUACAGCUGUCUUCACAAUCAGUUCAUAUAGUCUCAUCACAGAAUGAAAGAAAGCUUUCCUACCUUCAUCCGCCCUUCCCCACCUCCCUUGGAAACUACCAGUCUACUUGGCACUUUAGAUUAGUCAGUUUGAGAUAUUUUAUAGUAAUGGAAUAAUGUUUCAUGUAUAUACACAAUGGAUGAGGUGAUAGAAUGAGGUUUAAUUAAGGCAUAAAACACUUGUUAAAAACAAAUUUGAAAGAUGAAAUAUUUCCCUGACUCCCACUCCAGCCCCUGGUACAUUUUUCUUGACAUUAUUUAUUUAGGUAAAAAUCACAUGUAAAGCUGGUGAAUUUUAUAUUUUUAUUUUAUUUGUCUAGAUGCUUUGUUUUCAUCUACAUCUGUGCACCAUGGUGCCUAGUGCCCCCAGAAGCCAAAAGAAGGUGCCAGAUCCCGUGGAAC